RNAcentral lists this small RNA (127 nucleotides) under Marmota monax (woodchuck). Lineage: Eukaryota; Metazoa; Chordata; Mammalia; Rodentia; Sciuridae. The record is from RNAcentral.
GCUGGGUGUAAUGGCAUAUACCUGUAAUCCCAGCAGCUGAGGAGGCUGAGGCAGGAGGAUCACAAGUUCAAAGCAAGCCUCAACAUCUUAGUGAGGCCCUAAGCAACUCAGUGAGACCCUGACUCCA